RNAcentral lists this ribosomal RNA (271 nucleotides) under uncultured prokaryote. RNAcentral describes it as "partial 16S ribosomal RNA". It matches the Rfam family "Bacterial small subunit ribosomal RNA", at positions 524 to 794 of the family's 1533-position model. The record is from RNAcentral.
UACGUAGGUGGCGAGCGUUGUACGGAUUUACUGGGAGUAAAGGGAGCGUAGGCGGACUUUUAAGUGAGAUGUGAAAUACCCGGGCUUAACUUGGGUGCUGCAUUUCAAACUGGAAGUCUAGAGUGCAGGAGAGGAGAAUGGAAUUCCUAGUGUAGCGGUGAAAUGCGUAGAGAUUAGGAAGAACACCAGUGGCGAAGGCGAUUCUCUGGACUGUAACUGACGCUGAGGCUCGAAAGCGUGGGGAGCAAACAGGAUUAGAUACCCUGGUAGU